CAAAAGCUGUCGACGACGACGACCGUCACAAUGUAUUACAAUUAUUACAUUUUCAUUGCCGAACGUGAAAUACACCAAAGACUGCGUCUACGGGUGUGAAUUUUAUUCGAUUUUCGUCCUAAAACAAUAUCGUUUGGACGCAAACACUGCAACUUUCGUCAUAUCACUUCGAUGGUCGUCAGUAUUCGGUUUGCAGUAGACGAGCCGAACGAACGAAGCGUACUUUAUCGAUGUACUUUGUUUGGCUUCCGGCCAUCUAUACAUCCAUAGCAGUCGAUAACUGUGCAUGUGCAUGUGCAUGUGCAGUUUGAAUUAAAUAUGAAUUGUCAAGUGAGUCGCGGACGUGGUACGUAGUUCCUACAUUAUAGUAUCCAGUAUCCUACUUCCUACGAAUUAGCAGUGAUGACCAGUAGGUCAGUGGUCAUGAAAUCCAACGAUUGAACAGUUCUAGACAAUAGAGGUUUAAGACAAAGCUGGGCAGGUCUAGCUGUUUCAACUUUACAAAGGUACAAUGCAUAUUGAAUUUAAGAACAUCAGA
Molecule: long non-coding RNA, 538 nt
Organism: Aphis gossypii (cotton aphid)
Lineage: Eukaryota; Metazoa; Arthropoda; Insecta; Hemiptera; Aphididae
Exons: 3
Source: RefSeq, a predicted model, not a curated record